Molecule: ribosomal RNA, 229 nt
Filed under: uncultured bacterium
Lineage: Bacteria
Description: partial 16S ribosomal RNA
Rfam family: Bacterial small subunit ribosomal RNA
Source: RNAcentral
CGCGCAGGCGGAUUGACAAGUCAAGAGUGAAAUCUCUAUGCUUAACGUGGAGCUUGCUUUUGAAACUGUCUGCCUUGAGUCAUGUAGGGGAUGACGGAACACCUGGAGUAGCGGUGAAAUGCGUAGAUAUCAGGUGGAACACCAAUGGCGAAGGCUGUCAUCUGGGCAAAGACUGACGCUGAGGCGCGAAAGCCGGGGGAGCGAACAGGAUUAGAUACCCUGGUAGUCC